Molecule: transfer RNA, 81 nt
Organism: Chthonomonas calidirosea T49
Lineage: Bacteria; Bacillati; Armatimonadota; Chthonomonadia; Chthonomonadales; Chthonomonadaceae
Rfam family: tRNA
About the family: Transfer RNA (tRNA) molecules are approximately 80 nucleotides in length.
Source: Rfam
GCCCGGGUGGUGGAAUGGUAUACACGGGGGUCUUAAAAACCCCUGCCGCAAGGCUUGCGGGUUCGAAUCCCGCCCCGGGCA